This is a non-coding RNA of Pelobates cultripes (western spadefoot toad), 219 nucleotides long. NCBI's taxonomy places the organism in Eukaryota, Metazoa, Chordata, Amphibia, Anura, Pelobatidae. The record is from the annotation of a GenBank genome assembly.
AAAUUGAGCAAAUCAGUCUGGGAGCUUUUCGAUGUUUAAAAUGCAGAGUCAGUUGUUGUGCGUAUGAUAUCCCAGAAAGCUAGGAGUCGGAGAGUACUGCAACGGAUGCAGAUACUACAAGGCAGAUUGUCGGUAAGGUUUGCAGUUAAUACUGAAUGUGCAUUAUAGAUUCUAGGAAAGCAUUGUGAACACAGUGACUGAAACACAGGUACUUUAACA